This 450-nucleotide ribosomal RNA is filed under the name uncultured bacterium. RNAcentral's name for it is "partial 16S ribosomal RNA". It matches the Rfam family "Bacterial small subunit ribosomal RNA", at positions 354 to 796 of the family's 1533-position model. The record is from RNAcentral.
GUGGGGAAUAUUGGACAAUGGGCGAAAGCCUGAUCCAGCCAUGCCGCGUGUGUGAAGAAGGUCUUCGGAUUGUAAAGCACUUUAAGUUGGGAGGAAGGGCAGUAAGUUAAUACCUUGCUGUUUUGACGUUACCGACAGAAUAAGCACCGGCUAACUUCGUGCCAGCAGCCGCGGUAAUACGAAGGGUGCAAGCGUUAAUCGGAAUUACUGGGCGUAAAGCGCGCGUAGGUGGUUUUGUAAGUUGGAGGUGAAAUCCCCGGGCUCAACCUGGGAACUGCCUCCAAAACUGCUGAGCUAGAGUACGGUAGAGGGUGGUGGAAUUUCCUGUGUAGCGGUGAAAUGCGUAGAUAUAGGAAGGAACACCAGUGGCGAAGGCGACCACCUGGACUGAUACUGACACUGAGGUGCGAAAGCGUGGGGUGCAAACAGGAUUAGAAACCCUGGUAGUCC